AGAGUUUGAUCCUGGCUCAGAAUGAACGCUGGCGGCGUGCAUAACACAUGCAAGUCGAACGAGAAACCCCGGCUUGCCGGGGGAGUAAAGUGGCGCACGGGUGAGUAACGCGUGGGUAACCUGCCCCUUAAUCUGGAAUAACUUCGCGAAAGCGUUGCUAAUACCGGAUACUGUCCCGAGGGCUGUGGCCUUUGGGAUGAAAGGUGACCUCUUCUUGAAAGUUGCCGUUAAGGGAGGGGCCCGCGUACCAUUAGCUAGUUGGUAGGGUAAUAGCCUACCAAGGCGACGAUGGUUAGCUGGUCUGAGAGGAUGAUCAGCCACACUGGAACUGAAACACGGUCCAGACUCCUACGGGAGGCAGCAGUGAGGAAUUUUGCGCAAUAGGGGAAACCCUGACGCAGCAACGCCGCGUGAGUGAUGAAGGCCUUCGGGUUGUAAAACUCUGUCAAGUGGGAAAAAUAUCUUCCGUUAAAUAGGCGGAAGAGAUGAUGGUACCGCUGGAGGAAGCACCGGCUAACUCCGUGCCAGCAGCCGCGGUAAUACGGAGGGUGCAAGCGUUGUUCGGAAUUAUUGGGCGUAAAGAGCGUGUAGGCGGUUUGGUAAGUCAGAUGUGAAAGCCCUGGGCUUAACCCAGGAAGUGCAUUUGAAACUGCCAUGCUAGAGUAUGGGAGAGGAGAGUGGAAUUCCCAGUGUAGAGGUGAAAUUCGUAGAUAUUGGGAGGAACACCCGUGGCGAAGGCGACUCUCUGGACCAAUACUGACGCUGAGACGCGAAAGCGUGGGGAGCAAACAGGAUUAGAUACCCUGGUAGUCCACGCCGUAAACGAUGAGAACUAGGUGUAGCGGGUAUUGACCCCUGCUGUGCCGCAGCUAACGCAUUAAGUUCUCCGCCUGGGGAGUACGGCCGCAAGGCUAAAACUCAAAGGAAUUGACGG
RNAcentral lists this ribosomal RNA (934 nucleotides) under uncultured bacterium. Its description in RNAcentral is "bacterial SSU rRNA". It matches the Rfam family "Bacterial small subunit ribosomal RNA", at positions 8 to 916 of the family's 1533-position model. The record is from RNAcentral.